UUUCUUUUCUUUUCUUUUCUUUUCUUUUCUUUUCUUUUCUUUUCUUUUCUUUUCUUUUCGACACAGAGGGCUGCUGGCGUCUUGUAUCUCCCAGGGCUUCCUGUCUGGGAGCACAGACAUAGCUCAGCCUUCUGUAAUUUAUGCUGAGGGGCAGAGCAGGAGAGUUAUGAGUAAAGACUUUGGAACUGGACAAAACCUUUCUGGCCUGUCUGUGUCGCAACAGCUGUUCUUCUUGUGUCCCCCUUUCCUGGGUUGUAAAAUGGGGAUAAUAAUAGUACCACCCUCAGAUGGCGUUCAUAAGCACCCAGUGAGGUCAUGUUAAGCCUGUUAGAAAGCUACCCAUAAACGGCUGCUGUGGCCAUGGCUCCUUCUUAGAACUUGCGAGUUCCCCUGCCUGGAAGCGGUAGCCACUGGACUUGGUAAUUUUUCUGUCCCAUUGAAAAAGGCCCCUACUUUUCAAAGGGAGGAAGAGGAAAUUGUCGAUCUUGAGACACGAGGGACAUUGAUAAUGAAAGUUACAGCCCAUGGCCUCAGGUUUGGGGGAGGGGAGAAGCCACCUGACUCCGGAUUUUAAAAGGAGCUGAUGGGGAUUCAGAAGUCAAGGGCCACAGGCUCUACUCAGGGAAAACUCACUCUGGGGGACCUCGGACAGGUCACUUUCAGCCUGGGACUUCAGUUUCCUCGGGCGAGUCAGGUGGGUUUCUCAGCUUUGCUUAGGUAGUUAGGAGCACGCGGUGUGGGUUGCCGGCUUUGAGAACGUGGCUGAGCAGCGAGGCUCCGCCAGCCGAGAUGGGCAGGCGCGUGCAGGGAUUGGCUGGAGGCGCAGGCCCGAACCUUUAAGAGGCGCGGAGGGGACGUGCUAGGGAGUUUUCAUCGCCGGCGUUCCUGGUUUGCUAAGUGCUAGCGAACGUAGUAGUGGCUGGGGCUGCGCCUAGGAUCGGAGCCACAGGCGAGUGCCGGCCGGCAGAACACAAGAGCAUCCCGGCGUCCCGGUCCCACGCGGCGUGGCCCGCGGGUCAUGGCCAAAGGAGAAGGCGCCGAGAGCGGUUCCGCGGCGGGGCUGCUCCCCACCAGCAUCCUCCAAGCCAGUGAACGGCCGGUCCAGGUGAAGAAGGAACCAAAAAAGAAGCAGCAACUGUCCAUUUGCAACAAGCUUUGCUAUGCAGUUGGAGGGGCCCCGUACCAGUUGACCGGCUGCGCACUGGGAUUCUUCCUGCAGAUCUACCUAUUGGAUGUGGCUAAGGUGGAACCACUUCCUGCUUCCAUUAUCCUUUUUGUGGGCCGAGCCUGGGAUGCCUUCACUGACCCUCUGGUGGGCUUCUGCAUUAGCAAGUCCUCCUGGACCCGCCUGGGCCGCCUCAUGCCCUGGAUCAUCUUCUCCACUCCCCUGGCCAUCAUUGCUUACUUCCUCAUCUGGUUUGUGCCUGACUUCCCAUCAGGGACGGAAAGUUCACACGGCUUCCUUUGGUACCUGCUUUUCUAUUGCCUCUUUGAGACACUGGUCACGUGCUUUCAUGUUCCCUACUCAGCGCUCACCAUGUUCAUCAGCACGGAGCAGAGUGAGCGUGACUCAGCCACGGCAUACAGAAUGACUGUGGAGGUGCUGGGCACAGUGAUAGGCACAGCGAUUCAAGGACAAAUUGUGGGCCAAGCCAAGGCACCUUGUCUCCAGGACCAGAAUGGCUCUGUGGUGGUCUCAGAAGUUGCCAAUCGCACCCAGAGUACUGCCUCCCUCAAAGACACGCAAAAUGCUUACCUGCUGGCAGCAGGGAUCAUCGCCUCCAUCUACGUCCUCUGUGCCUUCAUUCUGAUCCUAGGCGUGCGGGAGCAGAGAGAACUCUACGAGUCCCAGCAGGCUGAGUCAAUGCCCUUCUUUCAGGGCCUCCGGCUGGUCAUGGGUCAUGGCCCCUAUGUCAAGCUCAUUGCCGGCUUCCUUUUUACCUCCCUGGCUUUCAUGCUGGUGGAGGGUAACUUUGCCUUGUUCUGCACCUAUACCUUGGACUUCCGAAAUGAGUUCCAGAACCUCCUCCUGGCCAUCAUGCUCUCGGCCACAUUCACCAUCCCUAUCUGGCAGUGGUUCCUAACCCGGUUUGGCAAGAAGACAGCUGUAUACAUCGGGAUCUCUUCUGCAGUUCCUUUUCUCAUCUUGGUGGCCCUCAUGGAGCGUAAUCUAAUCGUCACUUACGUGGUGGCCGUAGCAGCUGGCGUCAGUGUAGCAGCUGCCUUCCUACUACCAUGGUCCAUGCUGCCUGACGUUAUCGAUGACUUCCACCUGAAACACCCUCACUCCCCUGGCACCGAGCCCAUAUUCUUCUCCUUCUAUGUCUUCUUCACCAAGUUUGCCUCUGGAGUCUCACUGGGUGUCUCUACCCUCAGUCUCGAGUGAGUGGCCUCUUUGCCAACUACCAGAGGCAGGGAUGCUCCCAGCCAGAACAGGUCAAGUUUACACUGAAGAUGCUGGUGACCAUGGCUCCUAUCAUCCUCAUCUUGCUGGGCCUGCUGCUCUUCAAGCUCUACCCCAUUGAUGAGGAGAAGCGGCGACAGAAUAAGAAAGCUCUGCAGGCUCUACGAGAAGAAGCCAGCAGCUCAGGUUGCUCGGAUACAGACUCCACAGAGCUGGCCAGUAUUCUCUAGGACUUGCCAGGGUGCCUGAAGCCACCACACAAAGGACCUGGGGCACCAGGUAGCAUUAAGCACGGGAUCUCUUUGCCCUUGCACUGAGCAGCUGUUCUUCCUAUGUCAAGACAGGGACCAAGGAGUGGAGGGUGAGCGGACCAGGACAUCUGUGCUCACUGCAAGGCUGACCGCUCUGUCACCUCCUCACUGCCUGCCCACUGGGCCAAGCCUUAGGGCUGCUACUGUGAAUAUGCCAAGGACUGACUGGGCCUAGCUCGGAACACUAAUGUAGAAACGUUUUAUACAGAGACUAAUUAAUAACUUAAUGACUAUGUAUAUAGUGAUGUGUGUAUGUAUGUGUCUAUGAGGUAUUAAUGUUAUUAAUUUUCAUAAAAACUGGAAACACAAA
This is an RNA transcript of Mus musculus (house mouse), 3025 nucleotides long. It is a transcript of the gene named MFSD2 lysolipid transporter A, lysophospholipid, with no coding region annotated. The record is from RefSeq and is marked validated. Lineage: Eukaryota; Metazoa; Chordata; Mammalia; Rodentia; Muridae. The transcript is spliced from 14 exons.